GCCGGAGUGGCGAAAUUGGUAUACGCAGGGGACUCAAAAUCCCCCGAUCGCAAGAUCGUGCGGGUUCGAGUCCCGCCUCCGGCACCA
This 87-nucleotide transfer RNA is filed under the name Deltaproteobacteria bacterium. RNAcentral's name for it is "tRNA-Leu". It matches the Rfam family "tRNA". Rfam says of the family: Transfer RNA (tRNA) molecules are approximately 80 nucleotides in length. RNAcentral also lists the same sequence under 1 other name. Lineage: Bacteria; Pseudomonadati; Myxococcota; Myxococcia. The record is from RNAcentral.